Non-coding RNA from Vicia faba (fava bean), 309 nucleotides. The record is from the annotation of a GenBank genome assembly. NCBI's taxonomy places the organism in Eukaryota, Viridiplantae, Streptophyta, Magnoliopsida, Fabales, Fabaceae.
GAAACCAAGAAUAAUUUUGUAUUUGAAGGAAAAACUAAUAAAUUAAAAUGCAUCAACCCAAUUAUCUGCUUAUACAAUACCAAACCUGAACUAGAAAAAUCACUCACUGAAAUGGAGUGCAGGCAGGCACAAAUCGGCAAGAACGCGUUAGGAGCAAUAUCAGCUAUCAGACAGAAAAUAAAACUGAUGCCUUCCACCCUUUUCUUAUUAUUGAGAGAAAAAAAUGCAUAUGAUUUUAGUCAAAGAAUAUACAAAAACACUAAAACAAAUUUUACAAGACCCUUCUAUAUAAUCUGUGGUUUUUCAUGA